UCCAGCAAUGCCGCGUGUGUGAAGAAGGCCUUCGGGUUGUAAAGCACUUUUGUCCGGAAAGAAAACCAUCGCCCUAAUAUGGUGGUGGGAUGACGGUACCGGAAGAAUAAGCACCGGCUAACUACGUGCCAGCAGCCGCGGUAAUACGUAGGGUGCGAGCGUUAAUCGGAAUUACUGGGCGUAAAGCGUGCGCAGGCGGUCUGUUAAGACCGAUGUGAAAUCCCCGGGCUUAACCUGGGAACUGCAUUGGUGACUGGCAGGCUUUGAGUGUGGCAGAGGGGGGUAGAAUUCCACGUGUAGCAGUGAAAUGCGUAGAGAUGUGGAGGAAUACCGAUGGCGAAGGCAGCCCCCUGGGCCAACACUGACGCUCAUGCACGAAAGCGUGGGGAGCAAACAGGAUUAGAUACCCUGGUAGUCCACGCCCUAAACGAUGUCAACUAGUUGUUGGGGAUUCAUUUCCUUAGUAACGUAGCUAACGCGUGAAGUUGACCGCCUGGGGAGUACGGUCGCAAGAUUAAAACUCAAAGGAAUUGACGGGGACCCGCACAAGCGGUGGAUGAUGUGGAUUAAUUCGAUGCAACGCGAAAAACCUUACCUACCCUUGACAUGGUCGGAAUCCCGCUGAGA
Molecule: ribosomal RNA, 627 nt
Filed under: Burkholderia sp. IBb360
Lineage: Bacteria; Pseudomonadati; Pseudomonadota; Betaproteobacteria; Burkholderiales; Burkholderiaceae
Also listed under: 1 other name
Description: bacterial SSU rRNA
Rfam family: Bacterial small subunit ribosomal RNA
Source: RNAcentral